AAGUCGUAACAAGGUUUCCGUAGGUGAACCUGCGGAAGGAUCAUUCAUAAUUGAGUGUUUUAUGGCACUCUUUAAAAAAUCCAUAUCCACCUUGUGUGCAACAUUUUUAGACACCCUGGCGCUGAUAUCUCUUUUAAGAGAAGGAAAGCCAGGAUGUUUGAUUAACUUAACUCAACUCCUUUAAAACAGUUUGUCUGAAUACCUAUUUCUGAAUAACAUAAUUCAAAAAUACAACUUUCAACAACGGAUCUCUUGGCUCUC
RNAcentral lists this unclassified non-coding RNA (261 nucleotides) under Haplosporangium bisporale. Its description in RNAcentral is "partial internal transcribed spacer region". The stretch from base 1 to 46 matches the Rfam family "Eukaryotic small subunit ribosomal RNA", at positions 1786 to 1831 of the family's 1831-position model. Lineage: Eukaryota; Fungi; Mortierellomycota; Mortierellomycetes; Mortierellales; Mortierellaceae. The record is from RNAcentral.